Molecule: ribosomal RNA, 253 nt
Filed under: uncultured bacterium
Lineage: Bacteria
Description: partial 16S ribosomal RNA
Rfam family: Bacterial small subunit ribosomal RNA
Source: RNAcentral
UACGUAGGGUGCGAGCGUUGUCCGGAAUUAUUGGGCGUAAAGAGCUCGUAGGCGGUCUGUCGCGUCUGCUGUGAAAUCCCGAGGCUCAACCUCGGGCUUGCAGUGGGUACGGGCAGGCUAGAGUGCGGUAGGGGAGAAUGGAACUCCUGGUGUAGCGGUGAAAUGCGCAGAUAUCAGGAGGAACACCGGUGGCGAAGGCGGGUCUCUGGGCCGAUACUGACGCUGAGGAGCGAAAGCGUGGGGAGCGAACAGG